Ictidomys tridecemlineatus (thirteen-lined ground squirrel) is the source of this 68-nucleotide non-coding RNA. The record is from Rfam. NCBI's taxonomy places the organism in Eukaryota, Metazoa, Chordata, Mammalia, Rodentia, Sciuridae.
GGGGUUGUGGCUCAGUGGUAGAGCACUUGCCUAGCAUGCAUGAGGCACUGGUUCAAUUCUCAGCACCU